AUGGCGUCCCAACGGUCUUCUUGCUCUCGCGCACCCACCACCACCGCCGGCCCAAUCUGCGGCCGCCGCGGCACCCAACCACAGCCCCACCCGCCGGUCGCUCACUCCGAGGUCCGGCGGCCAGAUAACGCCCCAAGACAGAAUGGUGUUGGUGCGGCUGCUCCAUCCGGCACUAUCCCUGACGCGCCGCUUCCUGGUCGGUCUCGUCCCGCCUCGGCCGAUCUGGAGCCAGACAACAGCAGCUGGGUCGAGGUGCGUAAUAGUCGUCGUCAGCGCCGUCAAGACGACGCGCCCUCCGUCAGUCGGCCCGUCCGCCCCAAGCUUUGGAUUCCUAGAUGGCUGGUGGGCAGAUGCUUUAGGUGCCUGGACUCGGGUCACAAUAAAGCGGAGUGCUUUGGGGAGAUUCGAUGCCAUCGUUGCUGGGAAUCCGGCCACAUCGCCCGUGAUUGUCCGCCACGCCCAGACUCGCCACCCCGCCACCGUCCGCCAGCAAGCGCCGCCCCGCCCCCCACCCCGCCCCGCGCUCUGCUUGCCACAGUGGGGGGGAGGCGGCCUGCGGUUUCGCCCGAGGCCUUGGUCCAGUCCCUGACUCGAAUCUGCGGGGUGGAAAGGCGGCAUGUCAGGGUCGAGGUCACCCACCCCGCCGAUUUCUUCAUCACGUUCGCCUCCAACGCGGAUUGUGACAGGGUGUUCUCCUUCUCUGGCAAGCUGCGCUGCGCGGGGGCACCCAUUGCCUUCCGGCGAUGGCACAGGAGUGCGCUUGCAUCGAGCGGCAAGCUCGGUUUCUUCUGCAAGCUCGGGAUCGAGGGCUUGCCGGCGAGCGCCUGGGAAUGCGGGGCCAUCACCCAGCUCAUCAACAACCUGAACGGCCAGCUUGUUGAGAUAUUUCCUCCGGAGGACCGUUGGCAACUGGAGGUCACUGCAUGGAUGCGCAACCCGUCGGGCAUCCCGAAGAUUUAUGAUCUGGAGGUGCCGGAGCCGGUUGGCCUGAUGGAUUCG
RNAcentral lists this ribosomal RNA (999 nucleotides) under Triticum aestivum (bread wheat). RNAcentral describes it as "partial small subunit ribosomal RNA". Lineage: Eukaryota; Viridiplantae; Streptophyta; Magnoliopsida; Poales; Poaceae. The record is from RNAcentral.